GCAGGCUGCAACCCGCCUGCAUGGAGUCGGAAUCGCUAGUAAUCGCGGAUCAGCAUGCCGCGGUGAAUACGUUCCCGGGCCUUGUACACACCGCCCGUCACACCAUGAGAGUCGGGAACACCCGAAGUCCGUAGCCUAACCGUAAGGAGGGCGCGGCCGAAGGUGGGUUCGAUAAUUGGGGUGAAGUCGUAACAAGGUACC
This 201-nucleotide ribosomal RNA is filed under the name uncultured bacterium. RNAcentral describes it as "partial 16S ribosomal RNA". It matches the Rfam family "Bacterial small subunit ribosomal RNA", at positions 1300 to 1500 of the family's 1533-position model. The record is from RNAcentral.